RNAcentral lists this transfer RNA (71 nucleotides) under Apis laboriosa (Himalayan honeybee). RNAcentral's name for it is "tRNA-Leu". The record is from RNAcentral. Lineage: Eukaryota; Metazoa; Arthropoda; Insecta; Hymenoptera; Apidae.
AUUAUUUUAGCAUAAUAGUGCAUUAAAUUUAGAAUUUAAUUAUAUUAAUGUCAGUAUAUUAAUAAAUAAUA